This 2926-nucleotide ribosomal RNA is filed under the name Proteus mirabilis. RNAcentral describes it as "23S ribosomal RNA". It matches the Rfam family "Bacterial large subunit ribosomal RNA". The record is from RNAcentral. Lineage: Bacteria; Pseudomonadati; Pseudomonadota; Gammaproteobacteria; Enterobacterales; Morganellaceae.
GGGUUGUGAGGUUAAGCGAAUAAGCGUACACGGUGGAUGCCUAGGCAAUCAGAGGCGAUGAAGGACGUGCUAAUCUGCGAAAAGCGUCGGUAAGGUGAUAUGAACCGUUAUACCCGACGAUAUCCGAAUGGGGAAACCCAGUAUCCAAUGGAUACUAUCAUUAACUGAAUCCAUAGGUUAAUGAGGCGAACCGGGAGAACUGAAACAUCUCAGUACCCCGAGGAAAAGAAAUCAACCGAGAUUCCCCUAGUAGCGGCGAGCGAACGGGGAGCAGCCCAGAGUCUUAAUCAAUAGCAGUGUCAGGAGAACGGUCUGGAAAGUCCGGCAGUAAAGGGUGAUAGCCCCGUAUCUGAAGAUGCUGUUAUUGUGAACUCGACGAGUAGGGCGGGACACGUGUUAUCCUGUCUGAAUAUGGGGGGACCAUCCUCCAAGGCUAAAUACUCCUGAUUGACCGAUAGUGAACCAGUACCGUGAGGGAAAGGCGAAAAGAACCCCGGCGAGGGAGUGAAAAGAACCUGAAACCGUGUACGUACAAGCAGUAGGAGCCUCUUUAUGGGGUGACUGCGUACCUUUUGUAUAAUGGGUCAGCGACUUAUAUUCUGUAGCGAGGUUAACCGUAUAGGGGAGCCGUAGGGAAACCGAGUCUUAACUGGGCGAAUGAGUUGCAGGGUAUAGACCCGAAACCCGGUGAUCUAUCCAUGGGCAGGUUGAAGGUUGGGUAACACUAACUGGAGGACCGAACCGACUAAUGUUGAAAAAUUAGCGGAUGACUUGUGGAUAGGGGUGAAAGGCCAAUCAAACCGGGAGAUAGCUGGUUCUCCCCGAAAGCUAUUUAGGUAGCGCCUCGUGAACUCAUCUUCGGGGGUAGAGCACUGUUUCGACUAGGGGGUCAUCCCGACUUACCAACUCGAUGCAAACUGCGAAUACCGAAGAAUGUUAUCACGGGAGACACACGGCGGGUGCUAACGUCCGUCGUGAAGAGAAACAACCCAGACCGCCAGCUAAGGUCCCAAAGUCAUGGUUAAGUGGGAAACGAAGUGGGAAGGCUCAGACAGCCAGGAUGUUGGCUUAGAAGCAGCCAUCAUUUAAAGAAAGCGUAAUAGCUCACUGGUCGAGUCGGCCCGCGCGGAAGAUGUAACGGGGCUAAACCAUGCACCGAAGCUGCGGCAGCGACACGUAGUGUUGUUGGGUAGGGGAGCGUUCUGUAAGCCUGCGAAGGUGUACUGUGAGGUAUGCUGGAGGUAUCAGAAGUGCGAAUGCUGACAUAAGUAACGAUAAUGCGGGUGAAAAACCCGCACGCCGGAAGACCAAGGGUUCCUGUCCAACGUUAAUCGGGGCAGGGUGAGUCGACCCCUAAGGCGAGGCUGAAAAGCGUAGUCGAUGGGAAACGGGUUAAUAUUCCCGUACUGGUGGUAACUGCGAUGGGGGAACGGAGAAGGCUAGGUUGUCCGGGCGACGGUCGUCCCGGUUCAAGCAGGUAGGCAGAGUGAUUAGGCAAAUCCGGUCACUUAAUGCUGAGAUGUGAUGACGAACCACCAAGGUGGUGAAGCAAUUGAUGCCCCGCUUCCAGGAAAAGCCUCUAAGCUUCAGGUUACCAACAAUCGUACCCCAAACCGACACAGGUGGUCAGGUAGAGAAUACUCAGGCGCUUGAGAGAACUCGGGUGAAGGAACUAGGCAAAAUGGUGCCGUAACUUCGGGAGAAGGCACGCUGGCGGUAGGUAAAGUCCCUCGCGGACGGCGCCCAAGCCAGUCGAAGAUACCAGCUGGCUGCAACUGUUUAUUAAAAACACAGCACUGUGCAAACACGAAAGUGGACGUAUACGGUGUGACGCCUGCCCGGUGCUGGAAGGUUAAUUGAUGGGGUCAGCCGCAAGGCGAAGCUCCUGAUCGAAGCCCCAGUAAACGGCGGCCGUAACUAUAACGGUCCUAAGGUAGCGAAAUUCCUUGUCGGGUAAGUUCCGACCUGCACGAAUGGCGUAAUGAUGGCCAGGCUGUCUCCACCCGAGACUCAGUGAAAUUGAACUCGCUGUGAAGAUGCAGUGUACCCGCGGCAAGACGGAAAGACCCCGUGAACCUUUACUAUAGCUUGACACUGAACAUUGAGCCUUGAUGUGUAGGAUAGGUGGGAGGCUUUGAAGUGUGGACGCCAGUCUGCAUGGAGCCAACCUUGAAAUACCACCCUUUAACGUUUGAUGUUCUAACCUAGGCCCAUAAACUGGGUCGGGGACCGUGUCUGGUGGGUAGUUUGACUGGGGCGGUCUCCUCCUAAAGAGUAACGGAGGAGCACGAAGGUUGGCUAAGCAUGGUCGGACAUCAUGCGGUUAGUGCAAAGGCAUAAGCCAGCUUGACUGCGAGUGACGGCUCGAGCAGGUACGAAAGUAGGUCUUAGUGAUCCGGUGGUUCUGAAUGGAAGGGCCAUCGCUCAACGGAUAAAAGGUACUCCGGGGAUAACAGGCUGAUACCGCCCAAGAGUUCAUAUCGACGGCGGUGUUUGGCACCUCGAUGUCGGCUCAUCACAUCCUGGGGCUGAAGUAGGUCCCAAGGGUAUGGCUGUUCGCCAUUUAAAGUGGUACGCGAGCUGGGUUUAGAACGUCGUGAGACAGUUCGGUCCCUAUCUGCCGUGGGCGUUGGAAGAUUGAGAGGGGUUGCUCCUAGUACGAGAGGACCGGAGUGAACGCACCACUGGUGUUCGGGUUGUCAUGCCAAUGGCAUUGCCCGGUAGCUAAGUGCGGAAGAGAUAACCGCUGAAAGCAUCUAAGCGGGAAACUUGCCUCGAGAUGAGUCUUCCCUGUCACUUUAAGUGACCUAAAGGAACGUUUAAGACUAAGACGUUGAUAGGCUGGGUGUGUAAGCGUAGCGAUACGUUGAGCUAACCAGUACUAAUGAACCGUGAGGCUUAACCUGACAACACCGAAAGUGUUUUG